GCAUUGGUGGUUCAGUGGUAGAACUCUCAUCUUCCAUGUGGGAGACCCAGGUUCGAUUCCUAGCCAACCCA
Molecule: transfer RNA, 71 nt
Filed under: Loxodonta africana (African savanna elephant)
Lineage: Eukaryota; Metazoa; Chordata; Mammalia; Proboscidea; Elephantidae
Rfam family: tRNA
About the family: Transfer RNA (tRNA) molecules are approximately 80 nucleotides in length. Their secondary structure includes four short double-helical elements and three loops (D, anti-codon, and T loops).
Source: Rfam by way of RNAcentral